Molecule: ribosomal RNA, 254 nt
Filed under: uncultured bacterium
Lineage: Bacteria
Description: partial 16S ribosomal RNA
Rfam family: Bacterial small subunit ribosomal RNA
Source: RNAcentral
UACGUAGGGGGCGAGCGUUGUCCGAAUUUACUGGGCGUAAAGAGCGCGUAGGCGGGCUGUUAAGUGAGAGGUGAAAGGUUCAGGGCUCAACCCGAACAGUGCCUUUCAUACUGGCGGCCUUGAGUAUGGGAGAGGCGAGUGGAAUUUCUGGUGUAGCGGUGAAAUGCGUAGAUAUCAGAAGGAACACCCAUGGCGAAGGCAGCUCGCUGGCCUAUAACUGACGCUGAGGCGCGAAAGCGUGGGGAGCAAACGGG